CAAUGUGUGGCAUACGGCUCAGUAACACGUAGUCAACAUGCCCAGGGGACGUGGAUAACCUCGGGAAACUGAGGAUAAACCGCGAUAGGUCACUACUUCUGGAAUGGGUAAUGACCCAAACCUAUAUGGCCCCUGGAUUGGACUGCGGCCGAUCAGGCUGUUGGUGAGGUAAUGGCCCACCAAACCUGUAACCGGUACGGGCUCUGAGAGGAGGAGCCCGGAGAUGGGCACUGAGACAAGGGCCCAGGCCCUAUGGGGCGCAGCAGGCGCGAAACCUCUGCAAUAGGCGAAAGCUUGACAGGGUUACUCUGAGUGAUUUCCGUUAAGGAGAUCUUUUGGCACCUCUAAAAAUGGUGCAGAAUAAGGGGUGGGCAAGUCUGGUGUCAGCCGCCGCGGUAAUACCAGCACCCCGAGUGGUCGGGACGUUUAUUGGGCCUAAAGCAUCCGUAGCCGGUUCUACAAGUCUUCCGUUAAAUCCACCUGCUCAACAGAUGGGCUGCGGAAGAUACUAUGGAGCUAGGAGGCGGGAGAGGCAAGCGGUACUCGAUGGGUAGGGGUAAAAUCCGUUGAUCCAUUGAAGACCACCAGUGGCGAAGGCGGCUUGCCAGAACGCGCUCGACGGUGAGGGAUGAAAGCUGGGGGAGCAAACCGGAUUAGAUACCCGGGUAGUCCCAGCUGUAAACGAUGCAGACUCGGUGAUGAGUUGGCUUUAUGCCAACUCAGUGCCGC
This 729-nucleotide ribosomal RNA is filed under the name uncultured Nitrososphaerota archaeon. RNAcentral describes it as "bacterial SSU rRNA". It matches the Rfam family "Archaeal small subunit ribosomal RNA", at positions 72 to 804 of the family's 1478-position model. The record is from RNAcentral. Lineage: Archaea; Thermoproteati; Nitrososphaerota.